GAUAAUGUACCGGGGCUAAGCAUAUUACCGAAACUGUGGAUGCGUAAGCAUGGUAGGAUAGCGUAAUUAACGCGAUGAAGGAUGACCGUAAGGACAUGUUGGAGCGUUAACUAGUGAGAAUUCCGGUAUGAGUAGCGAAAGAUAGGUGAGAAUCCUAUCCACCGAAUGAGUAAGGUUUCCCCCGGAAGGCUCGUCCGCGGGGGGUUAGUCGGGACCUAAGGCGAGGCUGAAAAGCGUAGUCGAUGGACAACAGGUUGAUAUUCCUGUACCGAUAUUU
Molecule: ribosomal RNA, 277 nt
Filed under: Oenococcus oeni
Lineage: Bacteria; Bacillati; Bacillota; Bacilli; Lactobacillales; Lactobacillaceae
Description: partial 23S ribosomal RNA
Rfam family: Bacterial large subunit ribosomal RNA
Source: RNAcentral